RNAcentral lists this ribosomal RNA (738 nucleotides) under uncultured bacterium. RNAcentral describes it as "bacterial SSU rRNA". It matches the Rfam family "Bacterial small subunit ribosomal RNA", at positions 16 to 749 of the family's 1533-position model. The record is from RNAcentral.
AUCCUGGCUCACGAUGAACGCUAGCGGCAGGCUUAAUACAUGCAAGUCGAGGGGCAGCACAAGUAGCAAUACUGGGUGGCGACCGGCAAACGGGUGCGGAACACGUACGCAACCUUCCUUUAAGCGGGGGAUAGCCCAGGGAAACUUGGAUUAAUACCCCAUAAGACGGUGGUGUGGCAUCACACAGCUGUUAAAGCUACGGCACUUAAAGAUGGGCGUGCGGCUGAUUAGGUAGUUGGCGGGGUAACGGCCCACCAAGCCAACGAUCAAUAACUGGUGUGAGAGCACGACCAGUCACACGGGCACUGAGACACGGGCCCGACUCCUACGGGAGGCAGCAGUAAGGAAUAUUGGUCAAUGGACGCAAGUCUGAACCAGCCAUGCCGCGUGGAGGAUGAAGGCCCUCUGGGUUGUAAACUUCUUUUAUUGGGGAAGAAACCCAUCUUUUCUAAGGUGGUUGACGGUACCCGAUGAAUAAGCACCGGCUAACUCCGUGCCAGCAGCCGCGGUAAUACGGAGGGUGCAAGCGUUAUCCGGAUUCACUGGGUUUAAAGGGUGCGUAGGUGGGCAGGUAAGUCAGUGGUGAAAUCUCCGGGCUUAACCCGGAAACUGCCGUUGAUACUAUCUGUCUUGAAUGUAGUGGAGGUGAGCGGAAUAUGUCAUGUAGCGGUGAAAUGCUUAGAUAUGACAUAGAACACCUAUUGCGAAGGCAGCUCGCUACACUAUUAUUGACACUGA